Molecule: ribosomal RNA, 478 nt
Filed under: uncultured bacterium
Lineage: Bacteria
Description: partial 16S ribosomal RNA
Rfam family: Bacterial small subunit ribosomal RNA
Source: RNAcentral
GACGAACGCUGGCGGCGUGCUUAACACAUGCAAGUCGAACGGUAAGGCCCUUCGGGGUACACGAGUGGCGAACGGGCGAGUAACACGUGGGUGAUCUGCCCUGCACUUCGGGAUAAGCCUGGGAAACUGGGUCUAAUACCGGAUAGGACCACUGCCUGCAUGGGUGGUGGUGGAAAGCUUUUGCGGUGUGGGAUGGGCCCGCGGCCUAUCAGCUUGUUGGUGGGGUGAUGGCCUACCAAGGCGACGACGGGUAGCCGGCCUGAGAGGGCGACCGGCCAGACGGGGACUGAGGUACGGCCCAGACUCCUACGGGAGGCAGCAGUGGGGAAUAUUGCACAAUGGGCGCAAGCCUGAUGCAGCGACGCCGCGUGAGGGAUGACGGCCUUCGGGUUGUAAACCUCUUUCAGCACCGACGAAGCGCAAGUGACGGUAGGUGCAGAAGAAGGACCGGCCAACUACGUGCCAGCCGCCGCAGUAA